This 497-nucleotide ribosomal RNA is filed under the name uncultured bacterium. Its description in RNAcentral is "partial 16S ribosomal RNA". It matches the Rfam family "Bacterial small subunit ribosomal RNA", at positions 28 to 507 of the family's 1533-position model. The record is from RNAcentral.
GACGAACGCUGGCGGCGUGCCUAAUACAUGCAAGUUGAGCGCUGAAGGUUGGUACUUGUACCAACUGGAUGAGCAGCGAACGGGUGAGUAACGCGUGGGGAAUCUGCCUUUGAGCGGGGGGCAACAUUUGGAAACGAAUGCUAAUACCGCAUAAAAACUUUAAACACAAGUUUUAAGUUUGAAAGAUGCAAUUGCAUCACUCAAAGAUGAUCCCGCGUUGUAUUAGCUAGUUGGUGAGGUAAAGGCUCACCAAGGCGAUGAUACAUAGCCGACCUGAGAGGGUGAUCGGCCACAUUGGGACUGAGACACGGCCCAAACUCCUACGGGAGGCAGCAGUAGGGAAUCGUCGGCAAUGGACGAAAGUCUGACCGAGCAACGCCGCGGGAGGGAAGAAGGUUGUCGGAUCGUAAAACUCUGUUGGUAGAGAAGAACGUUGGUGAGAGUGGAAAGCUCAUCAAGUGACGGUAACUACCCAGAAAGGGACGGCUAACUACGUG